UGAGUCUUCGGACAAAUGAAAUAUAAACUUAGUGGCGGACGGGUGAGUAACGUGUGGGUAACCUACCCUAUACAGGAGGAUAACAGUAAGAAAUUAUUGCUAAAACUGCAUAAGAUUACGAGUUCGCAUGAACAAGUGAUAAAAACUUUAGGUGGUAUAGGAUGGGCCCGCAUCUGAUUAGGUAGUUGGUGGAGUAAAAGCCUACCAAGCCGACGAUCAGUAGCCGAUCUGAGAGGAUGACCGGCCACAUUGGGACUGAGACACGGCCCAAACUCCUACGGGAGGCAGCAGUGGGGAAUAUUGGACAAUGGGGGAAACCCUGAUCCAGCGACGCCGCGUGAGUGAAGAAGUAUUUCGGUAUGUAAAGCUCUAUCAGCAGGGAAGAAAAUGACGGUACCUGACUAAGAAGCCCCGGCUAACUACGUGCCAGCAGCCGCGGUAAUACGUAGGGGGCAAGCGUUAUCCGGAUUUACUGGGUGUAAAGGGAGCGUAGACGGCGAUGUAAGUCUGAAGUGAAAGCCCACGGCUCAACUGUGGGACUGCUUUGGAAACUAUGUAGCUAGAGUAUCGGAGGGGCAAGCGGAGUUCCUAGUGUAGCGGUGAAAUGCGUAGAUAUUAGGAGGAACACCGGAGGCGAAGGCGGCUUGCUGGACGAAGACUGACGUUGAGGCUCGAAGGCGUGGGGAGCAAACAGGAUUAGAUACCCUGGUAGUCCACGCAGUAAACGAUGAAUACUAGAUGUCGGAGAG
Molecule: ribosomal RNA, 749 nt
Filed under: uncultured Lachnospiraceae bacterium
Lineage: Bacteria; Bacillati; Bacillota; Clostridia; Lachnospirales; Lachnospiraceae
Description: bacterial SSU rRNA
Rfam family: Bacterial small subunit ribosomal RNA
Source: RNAcentral